UCCCUUAUACAUUGCCCUAGCCAAGUGAUGAUAGAAAGAAAAUACAUUAUUUUCGCUCUUGGAAGAUUUAUAUUUCGGGUAGUAGUAGUUAAGCUAACCGCGUUAACUAGCUUAAUACGCGUAGUCGAGACUGGAAGGUUGAUCGACCACAGUGGGACUGAAGAAAUCCCACGACGAUAGUUACAGCAGUGGGGAAUAUUGGUCAAUAGCCUAACGGCUGAACCAGCAACUUGAAGGAAUGUAUAGCGAAAGCUAGUUGUGCUUUAUUUAGUGUAAGCUAAAUUGGUAUAAUAUUGACUAUGUCGAAUAAAGUUCUAGGUAGAAUUAUGAUGAUGACAUUGUCUAUCUAUGUGUCUUGACCAAAUUACGUGCCAGCAGUCGCGGUAAUACGUAAAAGACUAGUGUUACUCAUCUUGAAUAGGUUUAAAGGGUACCUAGACGGCCAAUCAAGCCCCUAAAAGGGUACUAAUGGGCUAGAGUUUAAUAUAAGUAGGCUUUAAAGUACUGAGAAUGUUGAGAGAUGAAAUUCUGUGAUACUAUAUACGGCACUGGUAAAGGCGAAAGCAUCUUAUUAUGUAAAAACUGACGUUGAGGGACGAAGGCUGUGUGUAGCAAAAAGGAUUAGAUACCCAAGUAGUCUCAGCAGAAAAUGAUGAAUGUCAUGGUGUAGAGUAAUUUUGCACUAUAAAUGAAAGUGUAAGCAUUCCACCUUAAGAGUAAUUUGGCAACAUUGGAACUGAAAUCAUUAGACCGUUUCUGAAACAAGUAGUGAAGUAUGUUGUUUAAUUUGAUGGUCCGCAAAAAACCUUACCACUUUUAAUUUGAAUAUAAAAAUAUUUAUACAAGCGCUGCACGGUUGUCUUCAGUUAAUGUCGUGAGAUUCUGGUUAGUUCCAUUAAAUUAACGUAAACCCAUACUUUAUUUUAUUAUAGAGUAGUUCACCGCUAGAUUGGAUGUGAUAAGAGGACUAGACAUCUCGCUG
RNAcentral lists this ribosomal RNA (982 nucleotides) under Amandinea punctata. RNAcentral describes it as "SSU rRNA". It matches the Rfam family "Bacterial small subunit ribosomal RNA", at positions 167 to 1195 of the family's 1533-position model. Lineage: Eukaryota; Fungi; Ascomycota; Lecanoromycetes; Caliciales; Caliciaceae. The record is from RNAcentral.